Molecule: ribosomal RNA, 948 nt
Filed under: Triticum aestivum (bread wheat)
Lineage: Eukaryota; Viridiplantae; Streptophyta; Magnoliopsida; Poales; Poaceae
Description: partial small subunit ribosomal RNA
Source: RNAcentral
AUGCAUGAAGCUAGGGGGUUAUUCUGCAAAACUACAGUCUCAGGAAAAUUGCUAAAAUCGCAACAGAGGAAAAAAAACAUGCAUCGGGCCGAAUCUGGUGCAAACGGGCCAACAGGAGCAGGCGCUGGGGCAUCUCACCCAUGGGCUGAGGCCCAGUCAAAGCAGUGGUGGGGGAGGCUGGAUCUGGAUCGAACGGGCACGCUGGGCCUCGCGCGAUGGGGAAGCAGCUGGGCCUGGGUGCGGUCGGCGUUCGUCUCUGGAUCGAUGCCGAAGCAGAGGAGGUCGAGCGGUCAACGGGUACGGCGGGGCCCUCGUCUCCUCGUUCGAUGCCGGGUGAAGCAGAGGGCGGAACGACAUCCUGCUUGCUCGUUCGCUCGAACCGAACGAGGCAGAGGUGUGGCCCUCGCCGGGAAGAAGCAGGACGGCGGGGACCCGAGGUGGAGCAGCCGGCGUGAUGCGGAUCCAUGUGCAGAAGAGGGAACGAGGCGCUCGACUGCUGCUGCUGCUUGCGACACGGCGUCCACGGCUGCUCCUGCAGCAAGAAGAGCACGAGGGAGAGAUGCCGUGAGAGAGAGCUACAGAAGGAGAAAAAGGGAACGAGAGGGAAAGGCGAAGGCACGCCUGAUUCGGUGCUCCGGCGAGAAAGGGGGGGUCGCAGAGGAGGCUGUUCCUGCGCGGAUCCGAAGGGUGGCGAUGAGGACGAACGGCAGCCAUGGCAGCUCGGUUCCCUGUGAAGAAGAAGAGAACAAGGGGAGAGCUACACAUAAGAGAGAGAGAAAGAAGGAAGGGAAAAGAGCAGGGGAGGAAGGGCGCAGGGCACGGCCUGAUUCGGUGGUGGCGGUUGAGGUCGCUAGCGGCGGCGAUGGGCAGUUGGCUCGGGCAUUGGUUGGCCUUCGGGAGCGGGGAGAAGGAGACAGGGAGCAGGGGCUCUGGUUGGUGUGGUGGUGA